Small nuclear RNA from Suncus etruscus (white-toothed pygmy shrew), 105 nucleotides. Lineage: Eukaryota; Metazoa; Chordata; Mammalia; Eulipotyphla; Soricidae. The record is from RefSeq and is a predicted model, not a curated record.
GUCUGUAAUAGAGGCAGACUGGUGCACAUAUACUGGAAUGAUACAGAGAUUAGCACGGCCCUGUGCAAGGAUGAUACCCAAACUAAUGAUGCGUUCUAUAUUUUA